Molecule: long non-coding RNA, 1878 nt
Organism: Bos taurus (domestic cattle)
Lineage: Eukaryota; Metazoa; Chordata; Mammalia; Artiodactyla; Bovidae
Source: Ensembl
GAGGGAGUAAGUCCAAGACAUAUGUGGUCAGAGCAUUCCAGGCAGAGGGAUUAGGGAAUGCAGGCCUGAAUGGGAGAAGCAUGAACUCAGCGUGGUCAAGGGUAGGCAGGUAGCCAAGAGUGCUUGGAGCUGAGACCGUGCAGAAAAAGUAUUGGCAGACAAGUCACCAGUUUGUAGUCAGAUUUGACUGUCUGGAGCCCAGUCAUGUCCAGCUCUUCCUGAUUCCAUGGACUGUAGCCCGCCAGGCUCCUCUGUCCAGGCAAGAAUACUGGAGUGGGUUGCCAUUUCCUUCUCCAGGGGAUUUUCUCGACCCAGGGAUCAAACCAGCAUCUCUUGCAUUGGGCUCAAUUCACAUUCCCCUCUCCUCCCUGUUUGUUUUCAUUGCAAUCAAGGAAAGUUUACUGCAUUCAUACUUCUUAAAGAGAAAAGUACUUUCAUGUCAUUAUAAAUUCCUACGGAGUUACAAAGUCUGACACAGAAUUGUAUGGAAAGGGCAUUAUGUGAAAAGAUACCAUGGAAGCCAGGAUCCGAGUGGAAAAUCAAAACAAGUAAAGGUUCUUUAAAAUGCUGUCAUUUCUGGAAUAAAUUAAACCUGAUACUAUGUGAGAAUGUCUUAAGUUCCCUUACAGCAAGGAUACUGAGUUAUUGUCUAGCAAACAGGCGCCUCUUUUAAGAUAAUACAAAAAUAUUCUAAAAAGACAGUUUUUCCAAUGAAAAUUAAUCUAGCUUGCUUGGUUACCUAUCAGUGUGUCAUUAUUUUGCUCAAGUGUUCAAGCAUCUUAUGUGGUGUAUCAUUUUAAUACGCUGUGAAUAAAAAUGAUGCCCCCUUUUGGUCAGCCAGCAGCCUAUCGUGUCUGGUGAUUCUUAAUGUUUUCUGUAGUCAAAUUUCAUUACAUCAUUUUAGAACAGCUCACAACUCCCUAAUAAAGGCAUGUCCACAAUACAAAUGCUUCACAUUUCCUAAAUGUCAUACCAAUUCAGAAUUACUUUUUCCUAUUUCAUUUAUCAUGCUAAAUUAUAAUUUCUAUUUGGCCAUGGUCCUUAACUUUCCUUUUAGCUACUCCUAAGGAGGCCUGGUGUGCUGCGAUUCAUGGGGUUGCAAAGAGUCGGACACGACUGAGCGACUGAACUGAACUGAAGCUGUACUUUCCUCCUAUUUCUGGAAAUUAUUUUCCUGCUAAAAUGAAUUAUUCUCCACUUUGUACCUAUAGAACUCAAUUUAAUUUUUAUCUUUCCACUUCUUCAAUUUGUCGAGAUGCUUUGAAUUUAAAUUCUACAAUAAGAAAGUCAAUCCCCCCAAGUAGAUGUCAUCAGUACAAAUGUAAUGUGUAUUCAUUCAAGUAAUUGAUAGAAGAGUGUCUGUUUUCUGCCCGGAAGAUGUUAAUCUGAGCCCUGCCCUCUCCAGUUAAUUUAGAAAUAUUGUUAACUGCUAUGAUAAAAUUUAUUAUGCAAAGGGGAAAAUGUGAUAUAAACAAUCAAAUCAUUUUAUUUCUUGAAUGCUUUGUAUAUAUCAUACUAGACUAAGCAGAGAAGGCAACGGCACCCCACUCCAGUACUCUUGCCUGGAAAAUCCCAUGGAUGGAGGAGCCUGGAAGGCUGCAGUCCAUGGGGUCGCUGAGGGUCGGACACGACUGAGCGACUUCGCUUUCACUUUUCACUUUCAUGCAUUGGAGAAGGAAAUGGCAACCCACUCCAUUGUUCUUGCCUGGAGAAUCCCAGGGACGGGGGAGCCUGGUGAGCUGCCGUCUAUGGGGUUGCACAGAGUUGGACACGACUGAAGUGACUUAGCAGCAGCAAGCAAAUUAAAAUCAACCAAAUGUAUUUUUUUAUCAGUCUCACAUUUCUAAAGCAAAUGAAAUCAAAUAAUAAGGUUUUGGG